UACGGAAGGCAGCAGUGGGGAAUAUUGCACAAUGGGCGCAAGCCUGAUGCAGCCAUGCCGCGUGUAUGAAGAAGGCCUUCGGGUUGUAAAGUACUUUCAGUCGUGAGGAAGGUGUUAAGGUUAAUAACCUUAGCAAUUGACGUUAGCGGCAGAAGAAGCACCGGCUAACUCCGUGCCAGCAGCCGCGGUAAUACGGAGGGUGCGAGCGUUAAUCGGAAUUACUGGGCGUAAAGGGCACGCAGGCGGUUAAUUAAGUUGGAUGUGAAAUCCCCGGGCUUAACCUGGGAAUGGCAUUCAAGACUGGUUAGCUAGAGUCUUGUAGAGGGGGUAGAAUUCCAUGUGUAGCGGUGAAAUGCGUAGAGAUGUGGAGGAAUACCGGUGGCGAGGCGGCCCCUGGACAAAGACUGACGCUCAUGUGCGAAGCGUGGGGAGCGAAACAGGGAUUAGAUACC
Molecule: ribosomal RNA, 452 nt
Filed under: uncultured bacterium
Lineage: Bacteria
Description: bacterial SSU rRNA
Rfam family: Bacterial small subunit ribosomal RNA
Source: RNAcentral